Molecule: ribosomal RNA, 493 nt
Filed under: uncultured bacterium
Lineage: Bacteria
Description: partial 16S ribosomal RNA
Rfam family: Bacterial small subunit ribosomal RNA
Source: RNAcentral
AUUGAACGCUGGCGGCAUGCUUUACACAUGCAAGUCGAACGGUAACAGGUUAAGCUGACGAGUGGCGAACGGGUGAGUAAUGCAUCGGAACGUGCCCGAUCGUGGGGGAUAACGCAGCGAAAGCUGCGCUAAUACCGCACACGAUCUGAGGAUGAAAGCGGGGGACCGUAAGGCCUCGCGCGAUCGGAGCGGCCGAUGUCAGAUUAGGUAGUUGGUGGGGUAAAGGCUCACCAAGCCAACGAUCUGUAGCUGGUCUGAGAGGACGACCAGCCACACUGGGACUGAGACACGGCCCAGACUCCUACGGGAGGCAGCAGUGGGGAAGUUUGGACAAUGGGCGAAAGCCUGAUCCAGCAAUGCCGCGUGCAGGAAGAAGGCCUUCGGGUUGUAAACUGCUUUUGUACGGAGCGAAAAGGUUCUCUCUAAUACAGAGGGCUCAUGACGGUACCGUAAGAAUAAGCACCGGCUAACUACGUGCCAGCCGCCGCAGUAA